AUGGCGUCGUCGUCGGCGGCGGCGGCGGCGGCUGCGACCCCUUCCAGCGGAGCUGCGAUGGAAUCCGACGGGCUCGAGUUCUUGCUGGAUCCAGUAGACCGGUUCCCGCCUAGGGAAGAAUUCGCGGAAAGGUUUGAGCACUCAUAUCCUGUGCCACUGGCGUUACUGUCGCCACGCGAGGAGGCGCCUGCUUUGCCGGCGGAUUCCAAUUUGCGGCUCCGGCUGUGCGCAGCGGGUAGGGAGCUGCAGCCCUGGGCGGUCUGCAGGCGAGUGCUGCCGGAGGAAGAAUGCCUCGCCGACCCAAUCUGCGAAAUCCACUGGGAUGGUGAAUCCCGAAGCCCCCUGAUGGACGAAGAGAGGUAA
This 363-nucleotide ribosomal RNA is filed under the name Triticum aestivum (bread wheat). RNAcentral describes it as "partial small subunit ribosomal RNA". The record is from RNAcentral. Lineage: Eukaryota; Viridiplantae; Streptophyta; Magnoliopsida; Poales; Poaceae.